GAUGAACGCUGGCGGCGUGCCUAAUACAUGCAAGUCGAGCGAACAGACGAGGAGCUUUCUCCUCUGACGUUAGCGGCGGACGGGUGAGUAACACGUGGAUAACCUACCUAUAAGACUGGGAUAACUUCGGGAAACCGGAGCUAAUACCGGAUAAUAUAUUGAACCGCAUGGUUCAAUAGUGAAAGACGGUUUUGAUGUCACUUAUAGAUGGAUCCGCGCCGCAUUAGCUAGUUGGUAAGGUAACGGCUUACCAAGGCAACGAUGCGUAGCCGACCUGAGAGGGUGAUCAGCCACACUGGAACUGAGACACGGUCCAGACUCCUACGGGAGGCAGCAGUAGGGAAUCUUCCGCAAUGGGCGAAAGCCUGACGGAGCAACGCCGCGUGAGUGAUGAAGGUCUUCGGAUCGUAAAACUCUGUUAUUAGGGAAGAACAAAUGUGUAAGUAACUAUGCACGUCUUGACGGUACCUAAUCAGAAAGCAACGGCUAACUACGUG
RNAcentral lists this ribosomal RNA (497 nucleotides) under uncultured bacterium. Its description in RNAcentral is "partial 16S ribosomal RNA". It matches the Rfam family "Bacterial small subunit ribosomal RNA", at positions 28 to 507 of the family's 1533-position model. The record is from RNAcentral.